GACGAACGCUGGCGGCGUGCUUAACACAUGCAAGUCGAACGAAGAGCGAUGGAAGCUUGCUUCUAUCAAUCUUAGUGGCGCACGGGUGAGUAACGCGUAAUCAACCUGCCCUUCAGAGGGGGACAACAGUUGGAAACGACUGCUAAUACCGCAUACGAUCUAAUCUCGGCAUCGAGGAUAGAUGAAAGGUGGCCUCUACAUGUAAGCUAUCACUGAAGGAGGGGAUUGCGUCUGAUUAGCUAGUUGGAGGGGUAACGGCCCACCAAGGCGAUGGUCAGUAGCCGGUCUGAGAGGAUGAACGGCCACAUUGGGACUGAGACACGGCCCAGACUCCUACGGGAGGCAGCAGGGGGGAAUCUUCCGCAAUGGACGAAAGUCUGACGGAGCAACGCCGCGUGAGUGAUGGCGGCCUUCGGGUUGUAAAGCUCUGUUAAUCGGGACGAAAGGCCUUCUUGCGAAUAGUGAGAAGGUUUGACGGUACCGGAAUAGAAAGCCACGGCUAACUACGUG
Molecule: ribosomal RNA, 510 nt
Filed under: uncultured bacterium
Lineage: Bacteria
Description: partial 16S ribosomal RNA
Rfam family: Bacterial small subunit ribosomal RNA
Source: RNAcentral